RNAcentral lists this ribosomal RNA (492 nucleotides) under uncultured bacterium. RNAcentral's name for it is "partial 16S ribosomal RNA". It matches the Rfam family "Bacterial small subunit ribosomal RNA", at positions 29 to 507 of the family's 1533-position model. The record is from RNAcentral.
AGUGAACGCUGGCGGUAGGCCUAACACAUGCAAGUCGAACGGCAGCACAGUAAGAGCUUGCUCUUACGGGUGGCGAGUGGCGGACGGGUGAGGAAUACAUCGGAAUCUACUUUUUCGUGGGGGAUAACGUAGGGAAACUUACGCUAAUACCGCAUACGACCUACGGGUGAAAGCAGGGGAUCUUCGGACCUUGCGCGAUUGAAUGAGCCGAUGUCGGCUUAGCUAGUUGGCGGGGUAAAGGCCCACCAAGGCGACGAUCCGUAGCUGGUCUGAGAGGAUGAUCAGCCACACUGGAACUGAGACACGGUCCAGACUCCUACGGGAGGCAGCAGUGGGGAAUAUUGGACAAUGGGCGCAAGCCUGAUCCAGCCAUACCGCGUGGGUGAAGAAGGCCUUCGGGUUGUAAAGCCCUUUUGUUGGGAAAGAAAAGCAGCAGGUUAAUACCCCGCUGUUCUGAGGGUACCCAAAGAAUAAGCACCGGCUAACUUCGUG